RNAcentral lists this ribosomal RNA (2926 nucleotides) under Enterobacter roggenkampii. Its description in RNAcentral is "bacterial LSU rRNA". It matches the Rfam family "Bacterial large subunit ribosomal RNA". The record is from RNAcentral. Lineage: Bacteria; Pseudomonadati; Pseudomonadota; Gammaproteobacteria; Enterobacterales; Enterobacteriaceae.
GGGUUGUGAGGUUAAGCGACUAAGCGUACACGGUGGAUGCCCUGGCAGUCAGAGGCGAUGAAGGACGUGCUAAUCUGCGAAAAGCGCCGGCGAGGUGAUAUGAACCUUUGACCCGGCGAUGUCCGAAUGGGGAAACCCAGUGUGAUUCGUCACACUAUCGUUAACUGAAUACAUAGGUUAACGAGGCGAACCGGGGGAACUGAAACAUCUAAGUACCCCGAGGAAAAGAAAUCAACCGAGAUUCCCCCAGUAGCGGCGAGCGAACGGGGAGCAGCCCAGAGUCUGAAUCAGCUUGUGUGUUAGUGGAAGCGUCUGGAAAGUCGCACGGUACAGGGUGACAGUCCCGUACACGAAAGCACACAGGUUGUGAACUCGAAGAGUAGGGCGGGACACGUGGUAUCCUGUCUGAAUAUGGGGGGACCAUCCUCCAAGGCUAAAUACUCCUGACUGACCGAUAGUGAACCAGUACCGUGAGGGAAAGGCGAAAAGAACCCCGGCGAGGGGAGUGAAAAAGAACCUGAAACCGUGUACGUACAAGCAGUGGGAGCACCUUCGGGUGUGACUGCGUACCUUUUGUAUAAUGGGUCAGCGACUUAUAUUCUGUAGCAAGGUUAACCGUAUAGGGGAGCCGAAGGGAAACCGAGUCUUAACUGGGCGUUAAGUUGCAGGGUAUAGACCCGAAACCCGGUGAUCUAGCCAUGGGCAGGUUGAAGGUUGGGUAACACUAACUGGAGGACCGAACCGACUAAUGUUGAAAAAUUAGCGGAUGACUUGUGGCUGGGGGUGAAAGGCCAAUCAAACCGGGAGAUAGCUGGUUCUCCCCGAAAGCUAUUUAGGUAGCGCCUCGUGAACUCAUCUUCGGGGGUAGAGCACUGUUUCGGCUAGGGGGCCAUCCCGGCUUACCAACCCGAUGCAAACUACGAAUACCGAAGAAUGUUAUCACGGGAGACACACGGCGGGUGCUAACGUCCGUCGUGAAGAGGGAAACAACCCAGACCGCCAGCUAAGGUCCCAAAGUCAUGGUUAAGUGGGAAACGAUGUGGGAAGGCACAGACAGCCAGGAUGUUGGCUUAGAAGCAGCCAUCAUUUAAAGAAAGCGUAAUAGCUCACUGGUCGAGUCGGCCUGCGCGGAAGAUGUAACGGGGCUAAACCAUGCACCGAAGCUGCGGCAGCGACGCUUAUGCGUUGUUGGGUAGGGGAGCGUUCUGUAAGCCGUUGAAGGUGGCCUGUGAGGGUUGCUGGAGGUAUCAGAAGUGCGAAUGCUGACAUAAGUAACGAUAAAGCGGGUGAAAAGCCCGCUCGCCGGAAGACCAAGGGUUCCUGUCCAACGUUAAUCGGGGCAGGGUGAGUCGACCCCUAAGGCGAGGCCGAAAGGCGUAGUCGAUGGGAAACAGGUUAAUAUUCCUGUACUUGGUGUUACUGCGAAGGGGGGACGGAGAAGGCUAUGUUAGCCGGGCGACGGUUGUCCCGGUUUAAGCAUGUAGGCGGAACGAUUAGGUAAAUCCGGUCGUUUUUUAACGCUGAGGUGUGAUGACGAGGCACUACGGUGCUGAAGUAACAAAUGCCCUGCUUCCAGGAAAAGCCUCUAAGCAUCAGGUAACAUCAAAUCGUACCCCAAACCGACACAGGUGGUCAGGUAGAGAAUACCAAGGCGCUUGAGAGAACUCGGGUGAAGGAACUAGGCAAAAUGGUGCCGUAACUUCGGGAGAAGGCACGCUGAUAUGUAGGUGAAGCCCCUGCGGGUGGAGCUGAAAUCAGUCGAAGAUACCAGCUGGCUGCAACUGUUUAUUAAAAACACAGCACUGUGCAAACACGAAAGUGGACGUAUACGGUGUGACGCCUGCCCGGUGCCGGAAGGUUAAUUGAUGGGGUUAGCGGUAACGCGAAGCUCUUGAUCGAAGCCCCGGUAAACGGCGGCCGUAACUAUAACGGUCCUAAGGUAGCGAAAUUCCUUGUCGGGUAAGUUCCGACCUGCACGAAUGGCGUAAUGAUGGCCAGGCUGUCUCCACCCGAGACUCAGUGAAAUUGAACUCGCUGUGAAGAUGCAGUGUACCCGCGGCAAGACGGAAAGACCCCGUGAACCUUUACUAUAGCUUGACACUGAACACUGGUCCUUGAUGUGUAGGAUAGGUGGGAGGCUUUGAAGUGUGGACGCCAGUCUGCAUGGAGCCGUCCUUGAAAUACCACCCUUUAAUGGCUGGUGUUCUAACGUAGACCCGUAAUCCGGGUUGCGGACAGUGUCUGGUGGGUAGUUUGACUGGGGCGGUCUCCUCCCAAAGAGUAACGGAGGAGCACGAAGGUUAGCUAAUCCUGGUCGGACAUCAGGAGGUUAGUGCAAUGGCAUAAGCUAGCUUGACUGCGAGAGUGACGGCUCGAGCAGGUGCGAAAGCAGGUCAUAGUGAUCCGGUGGUUCUGAAUGGAAGGGCCAUCGCUCAACGGAUAAAAGGUACUCCGGGGAUAACAGGCUGAUACCGCCCAAGAGUUCAUAUCGACGGCGGUGUUUGGCACCUCGAUGUCGGCUCAUCACAUCCUGGGGCUGAAGUAGGUCCCAAGGGUAUGGCUGUUCGCCAUUUAAAGUGGUACGCGAGCUGGGUUUAGAACGUCGUGAGACAGUUCGGUCCCUAUCUGCCGUGGGCGCUGGAGAAUUGAGGGGGGCUGCUCCUAGUACGAGAGGACCGGAGUGGACGCAUCACUGGUGUUCGGGUUGUCAUGCCAAUGGCACUGCCCGGUAGCUAAAUGCGGAAAAGAUAAGUGCUGAAAGCAUCUAAGCACGAAACUUGCCCCGAGAUGAGUUCUCCCUGAGACUUUAAGUCUCCUGAAGGAACGUUAAAGACGAUGACGUUGAUAGGUCGGGUGUGUAAGCGCAGCGAUGCGUUGAGCUAACCGAUACUAAUGAACCGUGAGGCUUAACCUUACAACGCCGAAG